UAUCUGGAGGACUAGUGGUUAGGCCUUGGCACUCUCACCACCGUGACCCGGGUUCAAUUCACGGCCAGGGAA
This is a non-coding RNA of Pangasius djambal, 72 nucleotides long. The record is from the annotation of a GenBank genome assembly. Lineage: Eukaryota; Metazoa; Chordata; Actinopteri; Siluriformes; Pangasiidae.